Molecule: long non-coding RNA, 226 nt
Filed under: Mytilus galloprovincialis (Mediterranean mussel)
Lineage: Eukaryota; Metazoa; Mollusca; Bivalvia; Mytilida; Mytilidae
Source: RNAcentral
AAGUUAAUAUAAAAAAAGAAGAUGUGGUAUGAUUGCCAAUGAUACAACUAUCCACAAAAGACCAAAAUGACACAGACAUUAUUAACUAUAGGUCACCGUACGGCCUUCAACAAUGAGCAAAGCCCAUACCGCAUAGUCAGCUAUAAAAGGCCCCGAUAAGACAAUGUAAAACAAUUCAAACGAGAAAACUAACGGCCUUAUUUAUGUAAAAAAAUAAAAAUAAAAC